Molecule: long non-coding RNA, 205 nt
Filed under: Mytilus galloprovincialis (Mediterranean mussel)
Lineage: Eukaryota; Metazoa; Mollusca; Bivalvia; Mytilida; Mytilidae
Source: RNAcentral
AGAGACCAAAUGACACAAAAAUUAACAACUAUAGCUUACAUGUACCUUCAACAAAGAGCAUACCACAUAGCUAUAAAAGGCCCCAAAAGACAUAUGUAAAACAAUUCAAACAAGAAAAUUAACAAACUAAUUAAUGUACAAAAAAAAAUUUAGAAAUUAUUUCAUACUUUCAUUUUGCAAAAAAAACAAAGAAAUUGUUCCAGAC